CUCAGUUCGGAUUGUAGGCUGAAACUCGCCUACAUGAAGCUGGAGUUGCUAGUAAUCGCGAAUCAGCAUGUCGCGGUGAAUACGUUCCCGGGCCUUGUACACACCGCCCGUCACACCAUGAGAGUUGGCAAUACCCAACGUACGUGAUCUAACCCGCAAGGGAGGAAGCGUCCUAAGGUAGGGUCAGCGAUUGGGGUGAAGUCGUAACAAGGUAUC
Molecule: ribosomal RNA, 216 nt
Filed under: uncultured bacterium
Lineage: Bacteria
Description: partial 16S ribosomal RNA
Rfam family: Bacterial small subunit ribosomal RNA
Source: RNAcentral